This is a non-coding RNA of Picea glauca (white spruce), 121 nucleotides long. Lineage: Eukaryota; Viridiplantae; Streptophyta; Pinopsida; Pinales; Pinaceae. The record is from Rfam.
ACAUGCCUACAACAUAGCGUUAAUGCACUGGAUCCCAUUAGAACUCUGCAGUUAAGCAUUCUCGGGCUAGAGUAGUACUGGGAUCGGUGACCGUCUGGGAAGUCCUAGUGUUUUACAUGCC